RNAcentral lists this ribosomal RNA (303 nucleotides) under uncultured bacterium. Its description in RNAcentral is "partial 16S ribosomal RNA". It matches the Rfam family "Bacterial small subunit ribosomal RNA", at positions 507 to 807 of the family's 1533-position model. The record is from RNAcentral.
AGCAGUCGCCACGGGAAAACAGAGGGUGCAAGCGUUAAUCGGAAUUACUGGGCGUAAAGCGCGCGUAGGUGGUUUGUUAAGUUGGAUGUGAAAGCCCCGGGCUCAACCUGGGAACUGCAUCCAAAACUGGCAAGCUAGAGUACGGUAGAGGGUGGUGGAAUUUCCUGUGUAGCGGUGAAAUGCGUAGAUAUAGGAAGGAACACCAGUGGCGAAGGCGACCACCUGGACUGAUACUGACACUGAGGUGCGAAAGCGUGGGGAGCAAACAGGAUUAGAUACCCCGGUAGUCCCUGUCUCUUAUAC